Molecule: long non-coding RNA, 2867 nt
Organism: Astyanax mexicanus (Mexican tetra)
Lineage: Eukaryota; Metazoa; Chordata; Actinopteri; Characiformes; Acestrorhamphidae
Exons: 2
Source: RefSeq, a predicted model, not a curated record
GUGCAAAACAGCAGCCAAUCUUAAUAAUCCUCUUAAGAGACAGAGGCGGAGCCUGUUGGUUAGUGGACGUCAAUCCCUUGCUGUAUUAACCCAGAAAGUUCUGCGGGAGGAGAAGAGACAGGUCAUGUAAGAAGUUCUCUGCUCAAAGUAUUAUAAAAAUACUAGAAAACGCUAGAAUUCAGUGUUGUAGAUAGUGAGUAAAUCACUACCAAGCUGACCGCUGUUAGAGUUGAGGCUGCAGAGUGGAGGAAGGGAGAGAGGCUCACUUAUUGUGCCUCGUGAAACUUUGCCAGUUACACGCUCCGGUAAUCUCCAGGUGGAGGUAGAACCUGGUGUCCAUGUGCCCUGUGGUGGUGUGUGAAAACCCUGGAUAGGAUUCGGCCAGUUUUUUUGUUGGGUGGAAUGGAUUGGAUGAUCUUCCCGAACACUCCUCGUGUCGUUCAGCUGCACACGGCCGGUGCAGUGCGCGGUACUAGGAUGGCGAGCCAAGCCCGAGGACCCAAGUGACUUCAUUACACUUCAUUCACAUUUUUCAAACACUUGAUAGUGAACAUUAAAGAAAAUUUGUGGACUUUUGAAUUUUUGGAGUAAAAGGACACUUUUUUUUUAUUUUAUUUUGUUUAUUUUUUGAAAGGAAAAAAAGACACUCCUUGAACUAUUUGAAUACAAAGACACUGAAAAGGGUUAAGCUUUAAUUGGUUUGAUUACUGUUAUUUAAUUUCUAAGUGGUUUUGAUAUACAUUUAUUGUUUUUGCUACAGAGAAUUAUUAUUUUUUUUUUUGGUUGUUUGUUAAAGGGUGAACUAUUGGUGUAAAAUAACCUAGAGGUUUAAUUGGAUAACACUAAUUCUAACAAUACUUACCUUUAAUUAAUAAUCCAUUAGACCUAGAAGAAAGAAAUAAUUAAUUAGUUAUAAAAUACAUAUAAAUAGAUUAAAAUAAUAAAAUAAUACUUACCUAAAACUGCAUAAAUACCUCUAAAUUAGAGAACACCGGUGAUUAGAGAAAUAAUAGUAAUUAAUAUAAUAUUAAAUAUACAAAGUGAAAUACAAAGGGGAUACUUACCAUUUUCAUUGUUGACCCAGGUUAUUGAAGGGUGAAUUUCUUUUGGAAAAAACAGUAACUGAAUUGUUUUAUUUAUUUAUUUACAGAAUUUAUUUUUGUUAGUGUUUUAAUUACCUACUGGUAUUGAUUCUGACAUUUUAAUACACUUUAUUGCUGCACAAAUUCUGGUCUCAUUUCUUCCAUGUGUAUUGCUCCUAGAGCGAACCUAACUGGUCCUAGAACUAUCCUAAUUGUUUUAUCAUUAACACUCAUUGUAGUGAUUGUGUAAUUGGGUCUCUAUAUUUGUGGCGUGCUUGCAGAAAUGGCUUCUUUCGCAUCACUCUCCCAUACAGCUUCUCCUUGUGCAAAGUGCGCUGUAUUGUUGACCGAUGCACAGUGACACCAUCUGCAGCAAGAUGAUGCUGCAGCUCUUUGGAGGUGGUCUGUGGAUUGUCCUUGACUGUUCUCACCAUUCUUCUUCUCUGCCUUUCUGGUAUUUUUCUUGUCCUGCCACUUCUGGGCUUAACAAGAACUGUGCCUGUGGUCUUCCAUUUCCUUACUAUGUUCCUCACAGUGGAAACUGACAGGUUAAAUCUCUGAGACAACUUUUUGUAUCCUUCCCCUGAUCAUUUAUGUUGAAAAAUCUUUGUUUUUAGAUCAUUUGAGAGCUGUUUUGAUGAGUCCAUGAUGCCACUCUUCAGAGGAGAUUCAAAUAGUAGAACAACUUGCCACCUUAAAUACCUUUUCUCAUGAUUGGAUACACCUGACUAUGUUCAAAGCUCAAUGAGGUUACCAAACCAAUUUUGUGCUUCAGUAAGUCAGUAAAAAUAGUUAGGAGUAUUUAAAUCAAUAAAAUGAUAAGGGUGCCCAUACUUUUGCACCGGUCAAAUUUUGGUUGAAUGCAUAUUGCACAUUUUCUGUUAGUACAAUAAACCUCAUUUAAAUCCUGAAAUAUUACUGUGUCCAUCAGUUAUUAGAUAUAUCAAACUGAAAUGGCUGUUAAAAACACCCAAUAUUUAGAACUAAAAAUGAUUAAGAUUAAUAGGGGUGCUUAAACUUUUUCAUAUGACUGUAUGAACUUUGGAGGUGUGUAAACCACACCCAGCACAUUUCUACAGAAAAAAAUGGAAAUUGAGUCUUCUGGAAAGAAGAGAAGCUUUAAUUAAACGAUAAAAGUGGGCACACUGAACACUGAUACAUUUAAUAAUAUACUUAAUAUAGUUGUUGAAGUUUCUGUAACAAAACCAACGUAACAUAUCUUGUUAUCUACACACAAUAAAUGAAUGUUAAAGAUUCCCUAGAUUAGUUUUUUCUGUUCAUAGCAAGUGAAAAUAAGCUUUACUAUAUACUAUUCACUUAAAAUGCGUACAUAUUAAAAUAGCAAAAAUAAUUAAAUGCCAACGAUUAGCCCUUAUGGUGUGCUGUGUUUUUUUGGUUUGCACCUACUAAGAAGUCAGUAAUGAAAAACCUCCACUAAAGCAUGAGAUAUGACAACAAACAGUUGCUGUGGCCUUGGUAUUAGGGUCAUGAAAACAGUAAAUUGAGGGUGCUCUGGUCGCUUAUUACACACCUCCAGCAUAACAUUACGCUACUGUUUCUGCUGUUCCUAGAAGUGCAUUAUGUGAACCUGUGCUGUAAACAGAAUUCAGAGGAAUUCAUUAGAAGAUGCUGAAAUGAUAACCAAUAAACAGUGUAUACUUUAAAUUAUUACAUUAUUAAAAUGUGAUUUCAAAGAAAACCACAUUCAUUUAAACCUUUUUUUGUUAACAUUUAAAUUUUUCUGUUGCCAUUUAUUUGAAUUAUAAAUAAACACCUGUCAUUUGA